Molecule: long non-coding RNA, 735 nt
Organism: Capsicum annuum
Lineage: Eukaryota; Viridiplantae; Streptophyta; Magnoliopsida; Solanales; Solanaceae
Exons: 3
Source: RefSeq, a predicted model, not a curated record
ACAUAACAAAUUAAGUUAGUUAACUUUUCAAGGUUCACACUUAAUAGUCGCUAUUACAAGAUAAUAGGCCUCACCACCGGUCGCUCCUCUCGAUCUUCAUCUCAUCUUUUGUUAUAACUGUCACUGUCACACCACUAGUUCUGGCUGACGAAUCCAACUACUCUCACCAUCUUUGGUGAGAGCACCACCUCCAAUAACAGCUAGAGAAAAGCAAAGAGAUCUUCUCAUCUUAGGGUUCUGACGAACAACUAAAUCGAAACCCCAGUGCUGGCGACUUCUCCGCCACCGACCGUCAUAUACGGCAAGAGGUACUACUAUUCCAGAUUAAACGCCUCUCCUCAGGUGAUGAUAUCAAGAUUUUGGUGACAGUACACUCUUCGACAGUAGUACAUUUUCUGGUAAAGAAUAAUGGGGGAGUAGUACCAGUAGGGAAAAGGAGGCGACUGCUAAUUUCGGCGACUAAUUUUUGCAUGAAUUCGCCAGAAUCUGAUAAAACGAUCAAGAAACAUCCUAACCCCAUCUUCUUUAAGGAGAGGGUGCACUCGUUUCACUCCUCUAAAGUUGAUUUUUAGCUAGUUUAUUUGGCCUAGGUUUUUUGUCUCUUUUUAUCUUGAGUCCUUGUUUGGUUUUGUUCAUUGUUCCUUAGGUAGUGUAGUGUUUGUUGUGGUUUGUGAGUAUCAACUCUGCUUAUUGGUUUUGCUUUCAUAAUUAUCUAUUUUUAGAUGUUGCUUGUUA